This 253-nucleotide ribosomal RNA is filed under the name uncultured bacterium. RNAcentral describes it as "partial 16S ribosomal RNA". It matches the Rfam family "Bacterial small subunit ribosomal RNA", at positions 524 to 776 of the family's 1533-position model. The record is from RNAcentral.
UACGGGGGGGGCAAGCGUUGUUCGGAAUUACUGGGCGUAAAGGGCUCGUAGGUGGCCAACUAAGUCAGACGUGAAAUCCCUCGGCUUAACCGGGGAACUGCGUCUGAUACUGGAUGGCUUGAGACCGGGAGAGGUGAGUGGAAUUCCCAGUGUAGCGGUGAAAUGCGUAGAUAUUGGGAGGAACACCAGUGGCGAAGGCGGCUCACUGGACCGGAACUGACGCUGAGGCGCGAAAGCGUGGGGAGCAAACAGG